GUCCAGUCUUGCGCAAGGUCACUUCAUGCCCUUUGACACACGUACUAUAGUGGUCAGCACACAGCAUAUACUGUACAUGUAAAUAUGACCUUGCCUCAACCAGAAAAACCGUUAGGCCACAUUGCGCUAGCCUGCAUGCAGUUCAGUUCUACUACUCAUUCAAAAUGGUUAAAGACGGAGCAGGCACAAAUGUAUCGUCUUCUCGAAAAAACACUGAUUACAUGUAUUUGUAUUCAGUUCCAAAUCCGCGUCCAAAAGCAUCACACAUGUCUGUAAACAUACAGCUUAUUAGUCAGAGUUAAUAUUCCUGCAGCACCAUGGUCUUUGCGGAAUGGGAGAUAGUUUGGACAGAACCUUUCGUUUCUGGAGCCCUGUUCUUUCAAACCUACAGUUUGUUGUAGGCCUUACUGGGAGCCAUGGACACAAUGGAACAGUCAAUCGAUACGUGAGGAGAGGAGUUUUGCAACAGAGACGGGUGCGACAGUGACGGGAAAAGGCUCAGGAGACACUGGAGAAGCACGUAUAUAUAGGAACAAUCUGCAGCAAAUUAAGUGACUCGGAGUGUAAUUGUUAUAACCAUUUGAAGCACGCGAACUGGAUAUCAAAACAGUGACAUUAUUUCUGCAAGGCUUCAGUGUUACAGCUUUGGUGUUUUUCAUCUUUGAUUCGAUCAAAUUUGACCAGUACAUGAAAGUUCUGUGCUUCCCAGGACCUGUUUCCCCAGGUCUGUACAUUUCUCCAUUUUUUUGUCAAUAUUAUGAUGAUCUGAGACUGAAUGUUAAUUGCCCUGGAUUUAUCAAGCCAUUGAAGUUUCCUGUAAAUUUACUCACCGAGAUAUUGAGACGAGUUUCAUAAUUAAAACGAAUAGGCUAGCUUUACUGUUUUAGCGUGGAUUGUGGCCUAAUUAUGAAACGAGAGGCAUUAAACUCAAACCAAAACCUUCCCUCUUUUAUCCUCAACAUUCAAAUUUACAUGUAAGUUGGAUUGUGGAAAAUCAUCUAGCCAUCAAAAAAAUCUUGUAAAAAUCAAGUGUAAAAUAACUUCCACCACCAUCUUGAUAGUUUUUCAUGGUUCAAGACUUCUGCAUCUAUUUAUUUGAAAAGCCAAUUAUAAUAUUUCAUUGAUUAUGAUGAUACAUAUUUUGUAAAUAGUGUCAAAUAUAUACAACGUACAGUAUUUGCCAAAA
Molecule: long non-coding RNA, 1186 nt
Filed under: Patiria miniata (bat star)
Lineage: Eukaryota; Metazoa; Echinodermata; Asteroidea; Valvatida; Asterinidae
Description: uncharacterized LOC119724454
Source: RNAcentral